GGUGGAGCGUUGCGUGAAGCGUCUGUGUCUCUGCGAGAUCUUGCUGUGGGCCAGGUAUCCAUUCUCCUGCGGCAGCUUAGACCCUACGGAGACUAGAGGUCCGUGGGUGGUGGAGGAUCCUUUGCGUAGCAAAAAAGGAAGGCGAGUGCUCCUGCAUCCUCUCCAGACGGUACCCAGGGUCUCACUUUUCAGCUCUGGCUGUUCUGGAACUCACUGACAUUCCCCUCCGCCUACAGAGUGCUGGGAUUAAAGAACAUCCACCAUUAUUAGAACCAUCACCCUGCAGCUAGCUUGGACAUCAUUAAAAGGGCUCAUCAGAAGUAUCUGAUAUUCAUGAAGACAGAGUUUCAGGGUUUUCUGCCUGGAGCUACACCCUCCAGGAGCCCCUGCUUGGCUUCC
Molecule: long non-coding RNA, 399 nt
Filed under: Mus pahari (shrew mouse)
Lineage: Eukaryota; Metazoa; Chordata; Mammalia; Rodentia; Muridae
Description: lncRNA (MGP_PahariEiJ_G0006513.1)
Source: RNAcentral